UGCCUUAGUAGCGGCGAGUGAAGCGGCAAAAGCUCAAAUUUGAAAUCUGGCACCUUCGGUGUCCGAGUUGUAAUUUGAAGAUUGUAACCUUGGGGUUGGCUCUUGUCUAUGUUUCUUGGAACAGGACGUCACAGAGGGUGAGAAUCCCGUGCGAUGAGAUGCCCAAUCCUAUGUAAGGUGCUUUCGAAGAGUCGAGUUGUUUGGGAAUGCAGCUCUAAGUGGGUGGUAAAUUCCAUCUAAAGCUAAAUAUUGGCGAGAGACCGAUAGCGAACAAGUACAGUGAUGGAAAGAUGAAAAGAACUUUGAAAAGAGAGUGAAAAAGUACGUGAAAUUGUUGAAAGGGAAGGGUUUGAGAUCAGACUCGAUAUUUUGUGAGCCUUGCCUUCGUGGCGGGGUGACCCGCAGCUUAUCGGGCCAGCAUCGGUUUGGGCGGUAGGAUAAUGGCGUAGGAAUGUGACUUUGCUUCGGUGAAGUGUUAUAGCCUGCGUUGAUGCUGCCUGCCUAGACCGAGGACUGCGAUUUUAUCAAGGAUGCUGGCAUAAUGAUCCCAAACCGC
Molecule: ribosomal RNA, 556 nt
Filed under: Meyerozyma sp.
Lineage: Eukaryota; Fungi; Ascomycota; Pichiomycetes; Serinales; Debaryomycetaceae
Description: LSU rRNA
Rfam family: Eukaryotic large subunit ribosomal RNA
Source: RNAcentral